CGGUCACGUUACUAACUUAACUCUUUAAUUAUUUUUAUAAUUAUUUUCCUUCGCUCUCCCAUUUAAAUUCUCUAAUUCCUCGUAUAGGACCACUGACGUGACGUCAUACCUCGGUGAUGGAACAUACUCCACCUAUCGAGAAUUAUUUCGCGUUCGGUGAGUUUGACGUCGUACUCUUGGAAGGAGAGACGAAUGUUCAUCACUUGACCUGUGGCUGUAGGUGAAGUUGGUUGCUACCAUAGAAUAUUAGAAUGGCGGUUGGUUUUUUAUUUUAUAACAUCAGUGAAAAGUGAAAAAGUUACCACAAAUGGUUUUCUACAGUAGGGAGGCAUGUGAGUAGAACAACCCCUCUUGGAAAAAUCACCGCCAUUUUGGAGUAACCACAUGGUGAACUCAUAGCCCUUCGACACCUAGGGAAACCACUACAGCCACA
Diabrotica virgifera virgifera (western corn rootworm) is the source of this 433-nucleotide long non-coding RNA. RefSeq lists it as uncharacterized. The record is from RefSeq and is a predicted model, not a curated record. The transcript has 2 exons. Lineage: Eukaryota; Metazoa; Arthropoda; Insecta; Coleoptera; Chrysomelidae.